RNAcentral lists this ribosomal RNA (885 nucleotides) under Pyrenophora nobleae. Its description in RNAcentral is "partial large subunit ribosomal RNA". It matches the Rfam family "Eukaryotic large subunit ribosomal RNA", at positions 35 to 938 of the family's 3401-position model. The record is from RNAcentral. Lineage: Eukaryota; Fungi; Ascomycota; Dothideomycetes; Pleosporales; Pleosporaceae.
UAAGCAUAUCAAUAAGCGGAGGAAAAGAAACCAACAGGGAUUGCCCUAGUAACGGCGAGUGAAGCGGCAACAGCUCAAAUUUGAAAUCUGGCUCUUUUAGAGUCCGAGUUGUAAUUUGCAGAGGGCGCUUUGGCUUUGGCAGCGGUCCAAGUUCCUUGGAACAGGACGUCACAGAGGGUGAGAAUCCCGUACGUGGUCGCUAGCUAUUGCCGUGUAAAGCCCCUUCGACGAGUCGAGUUGUUUGGGAAUGCAGCUCUAAAUGGGAGGUAAAUUUCUUCUAAAGCUAAAUAUUGGCCAGAGACCGAUAGCGCACAAGUAGAGUGAUCGAAAGAUGAAAAGCACUUUGGAAAGAGAGUCAAACAGCACGUGAAAUUGUUGAAAGGGAAGCGCUUGCAGCCAGACUUGCUUGCAGUUGCUCAUCCGGGCUUUUGCCCGGUGCACUCUUCUGCAGGCAGGCCAGCAUCAGUUUGGGCGGUGGGAUAAAGGUCUCUGUCACGUACCUCCUUUCGGGGAGGCCUUAUAGGGGAGGCGACAUACCACCAGCCUGGACUGAGGUCCGCGCAUUCGCUAGGAUGCUGGCGUAAUGGCUGUAAGCGGCCCGUCUUGAAACACGGACCAAGGAGUCUAACAUCUAUGCGAGUGUUUGGGUGUCAAGCCCGAACGCGUAAUGAAAGUGAACGGAGGUGGGAACCCGCAAGGGUGCACCAUCGACCGAUCCUGAUGUCUUCGGAAGGAUUUGAGUAAGAGCAUGGCUGUUGGGACCCGAAAGAUGGUGAACUAUGCUUGAAUAGGGUGAAGCCAGAGGAAACUCUGGUGGAGGCUCGCAGCGGUUCUGACGUGCAAAUCGAUCGUCAAAUUUGGGCAUAGGGGCGAAAGACUAAUCGA